CUGGGAGGCAGAAGUUCUUGUGCUGGCCAGGAGGCCUGGGAACGGGGUGCUGAUGAGUGGCAGGAUGAGCACAGGGAUACUGGGCUGACAUGGGAGGUGAACAGACUGGAUGGAGGAAGCAGACUGGCCCUGCAGUACUGGGCUGAUCUGAACUGGGCAGGAGGUUAUUCUUAUGCCUMGCUGAGAUGAACUCAUGCAUGCUUGUAAGGAGCCUGGCCAUGACAUUACUUAGUUAAAUCCAGACUCUCACUGCUUGCUAGCUGCAUCUUUGUUGGAUCCAGAAGAUGAGCAUACUGGAUGUUUUUGGAAGAUUGACCUCUGCCAUUUUCCAGUUUCUGGAUCUCACCAGCCUUUUCCAAACUAGUUUAAGCUCACAUUGAUUCCCCCACCUCCCACCCCUGGUUCCCUCCUGAAACACAGUCAAGGACUGAGGAGGCAAAUGGGGGCUCUCCUUCCACCAGCUCCCUGUAGGUGUGCAGAAGGGGACAGGGAAGCUCGAGCCCAACAGAAGCAUUACAGACCUUGACCAGUGAUUAACGCUCUUCUCCAGGCUGGUUCACACGGCAAAGUCGCUGCCCUGGACUGCCCCAUCCUUCACGCAUACCRAGAGAUGAAUUGCUGGUGGCCUGGUCUGCGCAGACUGGAGCAUGCUGGGAAGAACUAUCGGGUCACCGCUCCCUGGGCACACGGCAGAGCUUUAACAGGCCUGGGUGAACAGAGUGUAAAGGGUUCAGGUGCCUUUGAACGUCCCAGAAACCAUUUCUGGUAAAAAAAGCACUCACUGAAACCUGCUGCACAGGCCUCCUGUUCAGUCGCACACCAAGCUGGACUGAGCACAAGCAGAGCUCUUAGCUGGGGUUGAUCCCACCAAAACUAACACAAGGGCCGGAAUCCACUUGGGCUGGGAAAGGAACACUCUCUCAUUGCCGUACAGCUGAAUUUCUUCCUAGAAGAAGCGAACGCUUAUUUCCUCCCCAUUAUUAAAUUAAGCUGAACCCUAUGAACCCCUUGGGUGCCUCUGGCUGAUCCAGCUUGGUGUGAGCUCGGGUGCAAAACGACACUGCUGU
This 1067-nucleotide long non-coding RNA is filed under the name Apteryx rowi (Okarito brown kiwi). Its description in RNAcentral is "lncRNA (ENSARWG00000018666.1)". The record is from RNAcentral. Lineage: Eukaryota; Metazoa; Chordata; Aves; Apterygiformes; Apterygidae.